RNAcentral lists this long non-coding RNA (1324 nucleotides) under Nicotiana benthamiana. RNAcentral describes it as "long non-coding RNA (NBEN_LNC040521)". Lineage: Eukaryota; Viridiplantae; Streptophyta; Magnoliopsida; Solanales; Solanaceae. The record is from RNAcentral.
UAAAUUGUCUACUUUAUCCAUUCCAAACAAAACUAAAAUCAAUUGCUAACGUGGUCUACGGUACACUCGUUCUAAAAUGCUAAUGCAAAUAAAGGUAAAGCAAGUUAAAUGGAAUAAACUAUCUUUUAGUAAAGAAGAUUAAACGAAAACCAUGAAAUCUACUCCGUUGCCGUGAAACAGAGCGAGCCAAAUGUUUGCAAAUAAAGGUAAAGCAUGUAAGUUAAAUGGAAUAAACUAUCUGUUAGUAAAGAAGAUUAAAAGAAACCCAUGGAAUCUCCUCCGUUGCCGUGAAACAGAGCGAGCCAAAUGUUUAACAGAUAAUCCACUUCUUUGUACAAAUUCUAGAUCCCAAACAACCACAAGAACAGCAGUAUCUACGAUCCAUACGAAUUAAACUAGAUUUCGAACUCAAGAUACUCAAAUCAAUUUGGCAGUGGUAUUCGUAAACAAACAAUCCCAUUUAUAAGCCAAAAAACAAAUUACAUCAACAUGAGAACAUACAUUUCAGAGAUUCAUAAGAAGCAGGUAGGCGAAAUAUCUCGAUAGCAAUACUACAGAUUGAGAUUACCAAAUGAAAUCUGAAAUAAUGGGGUUAAACUCGACGCGCUCAAGCAGGGUGCUCGACAACAGUAGCAGCAGCAAUUUGAGACCCAAUUAACCAACAGCUUUCAAUGGUGUCCAGAAAAUAUGCAACAGUAGAAUGAAAUCCAACACCAGUUUUAAAUCUCCCUUUUUAGAUCUAGUUGUGCGAAAAUUGGCUAAAAACACCAAAUGAAUAGACAAAAGGACCAAAUGAAGCUCAACAAGACAACAACUCCAUGGCUGAAAACCUUUAGGAAACCCAGACAGAAGGGAAAAUUUCGAAAUCAGUCCCCUUCAAACCCCAUUGAAAAUUCCAGUUUUCUCAUUUCUCUUGUUUCAACAAUUUCGUGUGUGCUUCUGAUUUUUCCUUCGAUCGAGUUUUUGUUUUUUUUCUUUUUUUCUUGAUUUUUGAGUGAGAUUAGAGAUGGGUGGCUAAGGUUUUUUGGUUAGAGGAGGGGUUAAGGUUUUUUGGUUAGAGGAAGGGGUUCUCGUUUUCCCUUUGUAGAGAGAGGUGUCGUUCUCUCUAUUUCUGGGAGCCGAUUUUGGUGUGUGUGAGAUCUCCCCCGAGAAUGGAGAAGAAGGAAAGGGUAAAUAGCUGGUACCCAACAUUGGAGAAGGAAGCACGCUAUUUUCGUGUCUCUAAGGGGAAGGAGUACGGACCGGGUCAGCGAAUGGGUUAUGGGCGGAUGGGGCGUGGACUAAGGGUGUUUCUUUUGGGCUGGGCGAAUUUAUUUUUCUGAUU